GACGAACGCUGGCGGCGUGCCUAAUACAUGCAAGUAGAACGCUGAAGGAGGAGCUUGCUCUUCUGGAUGAGUUGCGAACGGGUGAGUAACGCGUAGGUAACCUGCCUGGUAGCGGGGGAUAACUAUUGGAAACGCUAGCUAAUACCGCAUAACAGUAGAUGUUGCAUGACAUUUGCUUAAAAGGUGCAAUUGCACCACUACCAGAUGGACCUGCGUUGUAUUAGCUAGUUGGUGGGGUAACGGCUCACCAAGGCGACGAUACAUAGCCGACCGGAGAGGGUGAUCGGCCACACUGGGACUGAGACACGGCCCAGACUCCUACGGGAGGCAGCAGUAGGGAAUCUUCGGCAAUGGACGGAAGUCUGACCGAGCAACGCCGCGUGAGGGAAGAAGGUUUUCGGAUCGUAAAGCUCUGUUGUAAGAGAAGAACGAGUGUGAGAGUGGAAAGUUCACACUGUGACGGUAUCUUACCAGAAAGGGACGGCUAACUACGUG
This 495-nucleotide ribosomal RNA is filed under the name uncultured bacterium. Its description in RNAcentral is "partial 16S ribosomal RNA". It matches the Rfam family "Bacterial small subunit ribosomal RNA", at positions 28 to 507 of the family's 1533-position model. The record is from RNAcentral.